This 505-nucleotide ribosomal RNA is filed under the name uncultured bacterium. RNAcentral's name for it is "partial 16S ribosomal RNA". It matches the Rfam family "Bacterial small subunit ribosomal RNA", at positions 28 to 507 of the family's 1533-position model. The record is from RNAcentral.
GACGAACGCUGGCGGCGUGCUUAACACAUGCAAGUCGAACGGUGAAGCGCUUGCCUUUUUGGUGGGUGUGGAUGAGUGGCGAACGGGUGAGUAACACGUGAGUAACCUGCCCUCUUCUUCUGGAUAACCUCAUGAAAGUGGGGCUAAUACGGGGUAUUCCGGGUCUGUCGCAUGGCGGGUUUGGGAAAGAUUGCGCCUUUGGGUGUUUUCGGUGGGGGAUGGGCUCGCGGCCUAUCAGCUUGUUGGUGGGGUGAUGGCCUACCAAGGCGGUGACGGGUAGCCGGCCUGGGAGGGUGGACGGCCACACGGGGACUGAGACACGGCCCAGACUCCUGCGGGAGGCAGCAGUGGGGAAUAUUGCACAAUGGGCGCAAGCCUGAUGCAGCGACGCCGCGUGGGGGAUGGAGGCCUGCGGGUUGUGAACCUCUUUCGCCAGUGAAGCAGGCCUGCCUCGUUUGUGGGUGGGUUGACGGUAGCUGGAUAAGAAGCGCCGGCUAACUACGUG